This 5756-nucleotide long non-coding RNA is filed under the name Citrus maxima (pomelo). RNAcentral's name for it is "long non-coding RNA (CMAX_LNC001117)". The record is from RNAcentral. Lineage: Eukaryota; Viridiplantae; Streptophyta; Magnoliopsida; Sapindales; Rutaceae.
GAUAAGGACUCUUUCCUCUAAUCCAUAUUUAUACAGAGCCCACUAAGCCCAUCCACCACAACCAACAGCUUCUCUUGCUUACACAGCUUCUCUUGCUUACCCAGCUUCUGCUUCUCAAUUAAAUUCCUCAAUGGCAACCUCAACAAUGGCUCUCUCCUCAUCAUUCGUCGGCAAGGCCGUGAACCUCGCCCCUUCAGGCAAUGAGCUAAGCAAUGGUGGCCGCAUCUCCAUGCGUAAAACCGGGAGCAAGUCUGUUUCUUCAGGUAGCCCGUGGUACGGCCCAGACAGAGUCAAGUACUUGGGCCCAUUCUCUGGCGAGCCCCCAAGCUACUUGACCGGUGAGUUCCCUGGCGACUACGGUUGGGACACAGCCGGGCUUUCAGCUGACCCAGAAACCUUUGCCAAGAACCGUGAACUCGAAGUCAUCCACUGCAGAUGGGCCAUGUUGGGAGCUCUUGGAUGCGUCUUCCCGGAGCUCUUGGCCCGCAACGGAGUCAAGUUCGGUGAGGCCGUAUGGUUCAAGGCGGGGGCCCAGAUCUUCAGCGAGGGCGGGCUUGACUACUUGGGGAACCCAAGCCUGAUCCACGCCCAGAGCAUCUUGGCCAUCUGGGCUUGCCAGGUGGUCUUGAUGGGAGCCGUUGAGGGUUACAGAAUUGCUGGAGGGCCGCUCGGUGAAGUGACUGACCCAUUGUACCCAGGUGGCAGCUUUGAUCCAUUGGGUUUGGCUGAUGACCCGGAGGCUUUUGCUGAGCUCAAGGUUAAGGAAAUCAAGAAUGGAAGGUUGGCUAUGUUCUCCAUGUUUGGUUUCUUCGUUCAGGCCAUUGUCACCGGCAAGGGACCGUUAGAGAACUUGGCCGACCACUUGGCCGACCCUGUCAACAACAAUGCCUGGGCCUACGCCACGAACUUUGUCCCCGGAAAGUGAGCUUCGGUUGAUAACAUUAGUAGCGUGGAAAUUGGAAUUGAGAGUGAUUGGUUAUUGAUGUGACUCUAUUUCAACUUGCAAAACAUGUGAAUUAUGUAAUGUACUGCUACUACCAGUUUGAGGGGAUUGUAUUUUCAUUCAAUCUCUUGUCGCACGGUUCUAGUUCUAGUUCCUCCUCCUUACAGGUUGUGCCAGAAUCUAGUUACAAGUUUACAUCAACAAAAUCUCCAAUAUGUUCCCUUUUACAACUUCAUUUUGACCUUAACUAUAGCUUUAACAACAACAACCCAACAAAUCUCCAAGAAAGUAGUAACAGUGAAGCCCCGCAAGCAUUUCUUUCUCUGUCUCCACAAUUUCCACAAACCCAACAAAACACACCUCGCUUAAGCAUUAUCAACAAACUGAGAAGAUUGAUGAUGCCCAAAAGUUAAUGCAGCUGCUGGGUCUAGCAAACAAUUCUCAAGUAGAGAAGCGCUGUGAGUGUGAGGGGGAAUUCUAUAAUAAGAUUGUUGGGGGAAGGGGCCAAGGUGUGGGAGUAAAUUGAAGAGAAUGGAAGGGUGGAUUAAGUACUUUUUGAGCAGUAGUGACAUUGAACAGCUUUAGGUUGCUUAUUUGCUUCUUGGUAAAGCUGCUUUUGUUGGAAGUGAUUGUGAUUCGGUAACUUCGAGUUUCCUUAAACUAUAUAUUCUGGUAACUUCAAUUUUUUUUUUUUUAAGUAACUGCAUUGUCUAAGCUUUUUUAUGAAAGCUUUUAUUUGGAAUCGGCUUGUACUAGAGAAAAUUUCUAUAUAAUGAACCAUUCAUCAAUUACAGAUAGAAGAUAACACUUGGAGCAAUAUAUAAUACCACUAACGAAACAAGCGCUUAUGUUUUCUGAGCUUCUGAACGAUUUCCAAAUUGAAGUGCUUCAAAUGGGAAAUGACAAUCAGUCAAUUACCAAACCUUGAAUUAAUUACCCAGCUUUCCGAAUUUACAAUGGUUGAUACCAAGUGUUGAAAACAAGAAAAGGAAAUUUUGAUCUUACAAGCAAUUCCUUCUCUCUCAAGAAACAUUGUGUGAAUAUUCAUUAUUGAAAUGUAUACCAUUAAUGGAUCAUCCCAGUUCAUAAUCCAUCAAAUAAAAUCAAAAAGUUGCUAGGUCUUACCAUUUCAAUCGCCAUUAAUGGUAGCUAUACUACCACCAUCAACAUGAGAAUGUCCCAUUGUUAUGGUGACUGUCGCUGCUACUCCACUGAAUUUCUGUUUUGCCUUAUCAGUAUAUAAUAAUGCAGUGCAAGUUGCAUUAUGUAUAUAUAUUUUAAUUGCAAACCAUACAAGUUAUACUACAUUUUUCAUUUGGCGAUUGAGAUUUUCCAACCACAGAAUGAGACAGAAACCUCUUAUUUCUCUAAACAAAAUAUCCUCUUUAAUUGAACUUUGCUGAGGUUUUUAACCAACUUACAUUUUCCUGGUUUAGUAGUGAGGGCUAGAGCCUAGAGGCGCUUGUGCAAUUUGAACCCAUGACGAUGCGGACGUUGGGCAGGAAGAUUAAUGGAACAAUUAUACGUCGUCAUGAUAGCUGAAACACAAAUAAUGAAGUUUUCGUGGCAGAUAGGAUGCCUGCAGAAAGUAUCUGGAAAGGAAAAUCGAAACGUAUCAUUGUUGUACGGCAAUAAACUAAGUUGUGAGGAUACAUUAAUUUGUCCACUAACAAAUAUUGAAAUUCUUGAUUUUAGUCGAGCAUAAGAUCUCUGUCUACCCAUCGAUCCUUUUUCAUGUUGAUUUUUUGGGCUGUUCCCAUCCUCGUUUCUCAAUAUUACUGUAUCUGGAAUUUCUGGUUUGUAAUCAAAGUAAAUUUGGAUGUUUUACGAGACUAGAUAUUUCUUUAUGAUGUUCAUCUCAUUCUUAUUAGUUUCUCAAUAUAUUUGUACAUUUUCAACGUAUUAAAAUUUAUUUAUUUUAUAUAUUUUAGUAAUAUAUUUAUUUUAACAAAGUAAAUAUAUUAUGAUUAGAGGAAGACGCUCUCUCACUUUAUAUAUAUAGCACAUAAUAAAAUAGAAAACACAAUUAGUAAUAAAUAAUAUUUGAAUAAUUAGAGUAAGAUGCUGGGUGGUUAGAACCAGUGGUGAAGCUAGUACUAUUUUUUAGGGUGGGCUAGAUUUUUUUUAAAUUCAAUUACUUCUCAAAAAAAAUUUAUAUACAAAUGAAAUUAUUAAAAUACACUAGACAAGCAAAAAACUAAUAAUAAAACUAUAAAAGUACAAUGUAAAUAAAAAAACACUAUCGAUGAAAUUUUAUCCGAUUCUUCAAAAAAAAAUUCAUAUAGUAUCGUAUCUGAAUUAUUUUGUGUGCGAUAAUAAUAUAUUAGAGAAUUAUUAAUUAUUUUAUCAAAAAAUUUGACAAAAAUAUAAGCUAAUAACUAAUUAAAAAACAGUAUGAGCAUAUGGGUGCAGCAGAGGCUGACCGUCAAUCAUGAGGUGGCAACUUGAUGACUUGAACAGCUGAGUUAUGAGAAAUUUAGACUUUGAAUAAUUAGAUCAAUUAGUUAGGAAUUUGGGUGAGUUUUUCGAUUUAGAGAAAAUAAAUAUUAACUAUAAUUAUUCGUUAUAUUUUUAUAUUUUAUUUUAAGUUUUUUAAAAAGAAUAAAUUUAUAAUUAAUUCAUAUUUUUUUUCAAGAAACUAACCCGGGCUACAGCCCGAGUUAGCCUUCUUGAUAGCUUCGCCCCUGGUUAGAACCACUCCCUCACAACUGUGAGGGUAGUGGUUCGAACUCUCUUAAAAAUAGUAUAUGGAUUUAAUUUCUUUUCUCAAAUUUGGAUGGAUACAUUUUUUCCUCUUUCAUAUAAUAUAAACUAGAAAAUAGAACCGCGCUUCACGCGGCUUUGAAAAAAUAAUUUAGUAUUAUCCUUUUUUUUAUUUUACACUUGAUGAAACUGAUAACAAAUAUGAAUUGAUUUUUUUUAAGAUGAGGCAGCCUUAUAAAAUUAAUGUUAUUUAUGAAAGUUAAUUAUUUGUUUGUUAACUUUAAAUAUAUAUAUAUAUAUAUAUUAAUGUGUAUAGUUAAGUGUACAAAUCUUAUACCUUUUGUAGUUGUUGAUAAGUUCCAAAUUAUAUUCAACUUGCUAAUCUUUUAGAACUUUUAUAUCUCUUUUUUGCAAACCAGCUCCAACGAUCUCAAUAUCACCCACACCACAUAAACUUCCGACAACAUCUGUAAUAUUAUGAAAAAAUAAUAUAAAUAUGUUAAAACAUAAGGAUCAAUAAUUUCUAAUAUACACUUAAAGAUUAACAAACAUUAAUAAUUAAAAAAAUAUCUCAGAGGAUUGUGUUAUCAUUCACACGUAUGUUAACCAAUAAAAGUUAGAAAUGUUGAAUGCAGUAGAAGUAUCCAAUGCGGUCGUCGAAAAUUGGGUGGUUUAAACCAAAAAAAAAAAAGCUAUUAGCCAGAAACACAAAUAAAGAAGCAACGCAAGAUAAAAAAUAAAAUGAAAGAAUAUAUUAUAAAGUGAUUUUAUUCAUUCUAAUUGUGUGUGUACAAAAUAAAAAGAUGAGCUCUCGUUUUAGGGAGCUCUUAUGUUACAAUUAAUGUAACAUACACACUCAACAACAACCACACAAAUGAUGGGCCCACACAAUUUGUGUGGUUGUUGUUAAGUGUGUAUGUUACAUUAAUUGUAACAUAGCAUUUGCCCUCGUUUUAUAGUUACAUAAUCACUUCAUAAAAUUAAUGAAAAAUUAUGGUUCAUAAUUCCUUGUGAGAUAGUAGGAAUUAUAGGGAAGCUAAAGGUUGCUAAUAGGAGAUAGUGGGGAGACUAAGAAAUAUAUAUUAUGAACAUCUACAUUUAUUUUAAUAAAUUUAUAAUACUCCCCCUUAAAUGUUCAUUACAAAGAAUAUGCCUCAUUAAAAUCUUUACAUAAUUGUUAUUGUGUAAUAACAAUCAAAUUAAUUAUGAGAAGAUGAAUGACCAAAUCUAAAAGAAAACUUCUCUAUUUAUUAGAUAAUAGAGAAUAUACAAAAAUGAAAAAUGGUGAUGCCAUAUCACCUCCUCAAGUCCCAGUUAUAUAUAUAUAUAAAUAGAUUAUAAUUUGAGUAAUAAUAUUGUGUAAUUUUUUUUAAAAAUAUUAUGGAGAUUUAAUUUUUUUUUUCUCAAAUUUAGAUGGAUACAUAUUUCCCUCUUUCAUAUAAUAUAAAUUGGAAUUUGAGUAAUAAUAAUAUGUAAUAUUUUUUUAAAAAAAGAACAUGAUGAACAACAAUGUUAUUAAACAAUUAUGGAUGGCGCUAUCGGAUGGCAGAAGUGGCAAUGCAUUAUUGGAAGGAGAUACGAUCUCCAAACCCGUGAAUUAGGUGAUGCAUUGUCGUAAAAAUCCGGUGAGUGGUUCUGAGUGUGCCAAGUGGGCAUAGGAAUCAAACUUUCAAAAUAUUACCAGCCAAUGGGGAGCGAGAUAUAGAUCUCCUAAGAUAAGGACUCUUUCCCCUAAUCCAUAUUUAUACAGAGCCCACUAAGCCCAUCCACCACAACCAACAGCUUCUCUUGCUUACACAGCUUCUCUUGCUUACCCAGCUUCUGCUUCUCAAUUAAAUUCCUCAAUGGCAACCUCAACAAUGGCUCUCUCCUCAUCAUUCGUCGGCAAGGCCGUGAACCUCGCCCCUUCAGGCAAUGAGCUAAGCAAUGGUGGCCGCAUCUCCAUGCGUAAAACCGCGAGCAAGUCUGUUUCUUCAGGUAGCCCGUGGUACGGCCCAGACAGAGUCAAGUACUUGGGCCCAUUCUCUGGCGAGCCCCCAAGCUACUUGACCGGUGAGUUCCCUGGCGACUACGGUUGGGACACAGCCGGGCUUUCAGCUGACCCAGAAAC